Molecule: long non-coding RNA, 973 nt
Filed under: Nicotiana benthamiana
Lineage: Eukaryota; Viridiplantae; Streptophyta; Magnoliopsida; Solanales; Solanaceae
Description: long non-coding RNA (NBEN_LNC029690)
Source: RNAcentral
CAUUCUUUAACAAAUAUACCCCCACUGUUACACUUUCGGGCCACAUUUACCCUUCCACCGUUAAAACUUGUUUCCUCAAUUUUUAUAAACACGUGGCAUUCUCUCAUUGGUUCAUAUUAACCCACCCAUUGAAACUAGUCAUCUGGUUCAUAUUUCUCUUUCUCUAUUCCAAAUUUCCAUAUUCAACGCCCAUUACACUACAAAGCUAGCAGCUGAAGUUUCCGCGCGCGCACACACAUAUAGAGUAGAUAUUCGGAUUUGUUGCUUCCUGAAAUUGUAGCUGCCAUGGGAAAUUGCUGCUCCAACGAGAGCGGUGGACAUUCGUCAGUUGGCGGUACCGGCGCUUACGUGGUCAAUCCAAACAACGGUCAUAACGAAGCCGUUGAUGCUCUCCUCAAGUCUCGCGGUUACGACGGCGUCUAUUCGCAUGUCGAGGUUCUUCACUCUCUCUGUGUUUUCACAUUUUCCUAUACUAUCUGUUAGCAGAUGACUAGUUUCUAUUUUUUGUUUUCUUUUUCCCACUAAUGGUGCGGAUUUAUGUAUCGUUGACUUGGCUUUGACUGUGAGAAGAAUUCGAAUCUACCGUAUUAUGCCCUUUCUGAACUGGCAGCCUGCUUAGAUCUGUCCUCAGCAUUUUACUGUCAUAUUUUUAGAGUUUAGUUGGAUGAUUGUGGUUGAUUAAGAUCCUUGAUGGGGAAUUCGUGUUAGGUGAGGAUAUAGUACUGUUUCUUGUCAUUUAUCAGAUUGGACUUGCAAGUUGAAUUGUCAUUGACUUUGGGUAGAAGAUUCUAGAAACUGCCGUAUUGUGUGAUUGCUGAACCGCCAGCUCGAUAGACGUUUCUCUCAACAUUUUGACUUUGCUAGUUCAGUUUGUUCUAUAUCUAUGUUAAGGGAUUGUAUGCUUGUCCACAACAGAGAAACAAACUGUAUUAUGUUAUUAAACUGAAGUAUAUUGGUUGGAGAGGAUACUAUA